This is a long non-coding RNA of Oncorhynchus tshawytscha (Chinook salmon), 482 nucleotides long. The record is from Ensembl. Lineage: Eukaryota; Metazoa; Chordata; Actinopteri; Salmoniformes; Salmonidae.
ACCCAGGACCCAUAAGGCUGGUACGAUAUGUCAUGAACCCAAGAUCCAUAAGGCUGGUACGAUAUGUCAUGAACCCAGGAUCCAUAAGGCUGGUACGAUAUGUCAUGAACCCAAGAUCUAUAAGGCUGGUACCCCAUGUCAUGAACCCAGGACCCAUAAGGCUGGUACCCCAUGUUAUGAACCCAGGACCCAUAAGGCUGGUACCCCAUGUCAUGAACCCAGGAUCCAUAAGGCUGUACCCCAUGUCAUGAACCCAGGAUCCAUAAGGCUGGUACCCCAUGUCAUGAACCCAGGACCCAUAAGGCUGUACCCCAUGUCAUGAACCCAGGAUCCAUAAGGCUGGUACGAUAUUUCAUGAACCCAGGAUCCAUAAGGCUGGUACCCCCUGUCAUGAACCCAAGACCCAUAAGGCUGUACAUUUAAGGUGUGUUUCAGUCCUGAAGACUAUACAUCCACAGUGCAAUAUAAACACAUGUUUGGGG